Molecule: ribosomal RNA, 237 nt
Filed under: uncultured bacterium
Lineage: Bacteria
Description: partial 16S ribosomal RNA
Rfam family: Bacterial small subunit ribosomal RNA
Source: RNAcentral
GAUCCUGGCUCAGGAUAAACGCUGACAGAAUGCUUAACACAUGCAAGUCAACUUGAACUUCGGUUUUGGUGGCGGACGGGUGAGUAACGCGUAAAGAACUUGCCUCACAGCUAGGGACAACAUUUGGAAACGAAUGCUAAUACCUGAUAUUAUGAUUUUAGGGCAUCCUAGGAUUAUGAAAGCUAUAUGCGCUGUGAGAGAGCUUUGCGUCCCAUUAGCUAGUUGGAGAGGUAACGG